AGUGGUUAAGAAAGGUCAAAGAGGAUAUGAACCAUCAUUCUUAUUAGCUAAGAAGGCUUUGGAAACCAAUAGAUAAGUUAGAAAGUCCUUGAGAGCCUUAAACAUUAAGAUUAUGAAAAUCAUUUGGAGAUUGUUUUAUCGGGUAGCGAUGAACUUCUAGUUAAAGAGCCUUUUGGGGUUGAAUCCGAGCUCAGAACCUAACCAAACUUGAUAUAUGAUAUGCUUGGGAUGUCUUAAGGUUAAAAUGGUCAUUUAUCCCUAAGAAUUACGUGGCUCAAUAGGGUAAAUUGCUUACAUAGUAAAACCUGGCCUGCUGAAAUUACAGCUCAGACCUAUGUUCAAAGAAAGCUGCUUAGCAGCUACUUAAGUGUCGAUCUCUCAAAGACCUUUUUAUGCAUGAAAGCCAACAUCUUAGGCUAACACCUCAAGCAAGAAUAACCCAGAAACUCCAAGAAACCGACCUUGCCCAGAACUCAUUUCCCUCCUCCUAGGGUACCGCUAGAACAACCUAUAAAAGACUGUUAUGGAUUUUCGUCUCUUUUCUCUUAUUUCUUCCUCUUGGACACCCAUUUUUAUUUUACAUAGAACUCUUCUAGACAUCCAUACAAAGUAUUUCAAGCUUUAGUUCCAAUCUUUAGACCUUAAACUCAUAUAGAAAACCUUGCUGAAAGAUCACAUAAGUUGCUGUAAGUUCAACAGUUUACACCUCUUGUAUUUAAGCUUAGUUUUUCAUAUCUAUAAGCUUGUUGAAACUAAUAUUUAGCAUUUUAUACAUUCAGGGGAAGCUGUAGGAGUAGUUAACCAAUUGGAUUAAGGAGUUUCGUGGCUUUAAGCAUCCUUAGUAAAGAGUCAAACAUUGUUGCAGGUUUGGUGUUGUGAGCUCAGUACUUUGAAGUGAAGCAAGAUAAAGAUGUCGUCGUAGCUUAUGGAUUGAGUUUGUAUUUUAGAUAGUCAAUUAAGGAAUAGAUUCUGAUAUAUUUCGUUGUAUACAAUAUUUGGGAAUAUUAGUCGAGAUAUCGGUGUAAUUGAAGUCUUAUAUAAAGGAUUUUGUUUUGUGGGCCAAUAACCCACAGGUUUCA
Molecule: long non-coding RNA, 1079 nt
Organism: Beta vulgaris subsp. vulgaris (sugar beet)
Lineage: Eukaryota; Viridiplantae; Streptophyta; Magnoliopsida; Caryophyllales; Amaranthaceae
Exons: 2
Source: RefSeq, a predicted model, not a curated record